This 171-nucleotide ribosomal RNA is filed under the name uncultured Basidiomycota. Its description in RNAcentral is "partial 18S ribosomal RNA". Lineage: Eukaryota; Fungi; Basidiomycota. The record is from RNAcentral.
UUGCACGUCAGAACCGCUACGAGCCUCCACCAGAGUUUCCUCUGGCUUCGCCCUCCUCAGGAAUAGUUCACCAUCUUUCGGGUCGCAACACACUCGCUCCACCGCAAGGCCUUCCGAAAACAUCAGGCUCGGGCGCCGGUGCCCCUCGGGAGAGGGUAUCGGCUUUCACUU